CUUUUCCUUGCCCUGCUGCUACAGUUUUUUAACAUGGUAUACAGUAGGGUGGGGGAAGAUGGGAC
Molecule: microRNA precursor, 65 nt
Filed under: Ciona intestinalis (vase tunicate)
Lineage: Eukaryota; Metazoa; Chordata; Ascidiacea; Phlebobranchia; Cionidae
Description: miRNA (ENSCING00000023861.1)
Source: RNAcentral